CACCGGCCGCAGCAGGUCCGAGGUCAGCGUCGCCAUCUCGCUCGCUCGCUCGCCAGCCGCCGGUCCGGGAUUGGAUUGCCGAGAGUGGGGAGGCAAAAUCGAGAGUGGGGAGGCAAAAUCGCAGUCAUAGUUGGUACUUGGCGGCAUUCAUCCUCCUAUGGAAGCUGAAUAACGAACUAGUUCUGUUCUCAUGGAAUGUCAUUGGCGGUGACAUUAUCCGCUACCUGAAAUCUGGUGCUUUGCUAAUUGCCAGGACCAUCGCUGUAAUCCUUCCAUUAUGAGAUAAGCUUGAAAGUCUGGCUAACAAUUUCUCUACUUAAUGAUGCACUGGCUCUUGCUGGUCAGGCUCUACUUGCAAGUGAAUAUGCGAAAGGGAACUACAAGCAGGCCCGCUUGGUUUUGUACAGAGUUCUGCAGAUUGGAGGUGUCACUGGUCUUGCACUUGCUGCGACCUUGUUCCUUGGGUUUGGAUAUUUGACCUUGUUAUUUACAGAUGAUCCAGCA
Molecule: long non-coding RNA, 504 nt
Organism: Hordeum vulgare subsp. vulgare (domesticated barley)
Lineage: Eukaryota; Viridiplantae; Streptophyta; Magnoliopsida; Poales; Poaceae
Exons: 5
Source: RefSeq, a predicted model, not a curated record